RNAcentral lists this ribosomal RNA (423 nucleotides) under uncultured bacterium. RNAcentral's name for it is "bacterial SSU rRNA". It matches the Rfam family "Bacterial small subunit ribosomal RNA", at positions 354 to 774 of the family's 1533-position model. The record is from RNAcentral.
GUAAGGAAUAUUGGACAAUGGAGGCAACUCUGAUCCAGCCAUGCCGCGUGAAGGAAUAAGGCCCUAUGGGUUGUAAACUUCUUUUAGACGGGACAAAACCCCUUUACGUGUAAAGGGUUGAUGGUACUGUCAGAAUAAGCAUCGGCUAACUUCGUGCCAGCAGCCGCGGUAAUACGAAGGAUGCAAGCGUUAUCCGGAAUUAUUGGGUUUAAAGGGUGCGUAGGCGGACUAAUAAGUCAGUGGCGAAAGCCUGCAGCUUAACUGCAGAAUGGCCAUCGAUACUGUUAGUCUUGAGUACAGUUGAGGUAGGCGGAAUGUGUCAUGUAGCGGUGAAAUGCUUAGAUAUGACACAGAACACCGAUUGCGAAGGCAGCUUGCUAAGCUGUAACUGACGCUGAGGCACGAAAGCGUGGGGAGCAAACA